UACGGAGGGUGCAAGCGUUAUCCGGAUUCACUGGGUUUAAAGGGUGCGUAGGUGGGUUGGUAAGUCAGUGGUGAAAUCUCCAGGCUUAACUUGGAAACUGCCAUUGAUACUAUCAAUCUUGAAUACCGUGGAGGUCAGCGGAAUAUGUCAUGUAGCGGUGAAAUGCUUAGAUAUGACAUAGAACACCAAUUGCGAAGGCAGCUGGCUACACGAAUAUUGACACUGAUGCACGAAAGCGUGGAAGAUCAAAACAGG
This 255-nucleotide ribosomal RNA is filed under the name uncultured bacterium. RNAcentral's name for it is "partial 16S ribosomal RNA". It matches the Rfam family "Bacterial small subunit ribosomal RNA", at positions 524 to 776 of the family's 1533-position model. The record is from RNAcentral.